Molecule: ribosomal RNA, 253 nt
Filed under: uncultured bacterium
Lineage: Bacteria
Description: partial 16S ribosomal RNA
Rfam family: Bacterial small subunit ribosomal RNA
Source: RNAcentral
UACAGAGGUCCCAAGCGUUGUUCGGAUUCACUGGGCGUAAAGGGUGCGCAGGUGGGUUUGCAAGUUCGAUGUGAAAGCCCCGGGCUUAACCCGGGAAUGGCAUUGGAUACUGCAGAUCUGGAGGAUCGGAGGGGGGACUGGAAUUCUUGGUGUAGCAGUGAAAUGCGUAGAUAUCAAGAGGAACACCAGUGGCGAAGGCGAGUCCCUGGACGAUACCUGACACUGAGGCACGAAAGCGUGGGGAGCAAACAGG